Molecule: ribosomal RNA, 444 nt
Filed under: Triticum aestivum (bread wheat)
Lineage: Eukaryota; Viridiplantae; Streptophyta; Magnoliopsida; Poales; Poaceae
Description: partial small subunit ribosomal RNA
Source: RNAcentral
AUGGUCGUUCCCCACCACGACGACCACCCCCCAUGGCGUUGCCGCCGUCCCCAACCGCGACGACCGAAGGCGGAGGCGUCACCUAUGGCGCUGCCACCGUGUGGAUGCCACGAAGGUGUCCGGCGCCGACACAACCCACAUCGGCGAAGCUUGAGGGCGGCGACAGCGGGCGGGGCUCCCAACGGCGCUGAUGAAAGCAUCCACAGCGUUGAAGCUCCCCUCGGCGUGGAGUGGUUCCACAAGUCACGCUGCCCAUGGGCUAGGCGAGGAUGCCCACGACGUUCGGCCCAGCCAACAGGACUCCGUGCGCAACGACGGGCGCACCGGGGACGCCGGCCGCGGAAUGGGCUGUUGCUCCUUCAAAGCUUGAUUCUGCAAUGCUUCAUUCUACCUGAUUUAUCCAAUUUCGUGUGCGAGCUUGUCAUGUCAAGCCAAAAUUUCUGA